RNAcentral lists this ribosomal RNA (470 nucleotides) under Rhizophagus intraradices. RNAcentral describes it as "eukaryotic LSU rRNA". It matches the Rfam family "Eukaryotic large subunit ribosomal RNA", at positions 288 to 626 of the family's 3401-position model. Lineage: Eukaryota; Fungi; Glomeromycota; Glomeromycetes; Glomerales; Glomeraceae. The record is from RNAcentral.
UAAAAUGGGAGGUAAAUUUCUCCUAAGGCUAAAUAACGGCGAGAGACCGAUAGCGAACAAGUACCGUGAGGGAAAGAUGAAAAGAACUUUGAAAAGAGAGUUAAAUAGUACGUGAAAUCGUUGAAAGGGAAACGAUUGAAGCCAGUCGUACCUGCGGGUAAUCAGCCUUUUGGGCAUGAUUCUGUGGAGCGUGAGGAGUUAAACGCCUUCAUGCCUGCAUAUUCGUGUACUUUGGGUGUACUUGCCUGUGUGGUUAGUUAACAUCAAUUUUGGUUAUCAUAAAAUGGCUGGAGGAAUGUAGCUUCGAUUUCGAUUGAAGUGUUAUAGCCUUCGGCAGAUGUGAUGAUCGGGAUUGAGGAUUGCAACGGAUACCCUUCGGGGCUACCUGUCUGGUCUCUGAUCGUUGCUCUGGUGCCGAAAGCGUGCUUACGGUUAUCAAAGUCGAUGGACAAUAGGUUAGAACGGGUUAA